CUCAGCCGUUAAAGGCUAGGCUCACAACCAAAUAUAUAAGAGUUCGGUUCCCAGCACCCACGGCUGUCUCUCCAGCCACCUUUUUUGUCUUAUACUACAGUACACACGGAGCACGCAAAAUUAUAAAUUGAUAGUUAAAAAAGAAAGAAAAGGAAAGGAAAACUAAAUAAAAGGAAUAAAUCCCAUCUCUCUUAACUUAACUAAGUUGCAAUUAAGCAACGUAUAAUCAGUUUCAAUUGACUUAAUCAAAUAUUUCAGUUGGUUUUAUCAAAGCCAGCUUCAAAUCUACACGCACUGCAAAUGCUCGCAGACACUCAAAGACACAGCUUGCUCUGCCCCAUCUCUCGUCUGCCUGGUGUUUUUAACAUCAACUUCAGAGCUCACAGUGUGGGAUCACCGCAAACACCCAGUCAAAGAGAUCUGCACUCCGACAUCUCUGCUGCUCCACACCCUGCACUAGGCUCCUGUGCUGAUCUGCCUCUCGCCGCUAUUCAAUAAGGACCCCAAGGAUCGCUCCCCAGACACUUGCAGCAGACCCAGGGACACAUUCAGGAUGAGAUCAUAAUCCUCUUUGUUGAUGACAGUCAAAGUGCUUGUCUGCUCACCGACAGGGGUCCUCCUAAGUGUCAAGGCUGGCCCUUGGCUCUGGCUGUUUCCCUAAGGUCUGUCAAAGGUGAUGCUGUAGUGCUGCCUGCUACCAGCAGGACCUCAGCACCCUUGGUGCUUCAGUGGUUCAGGUCUAUGGUGGUUUCUACUGUUGUGAUAAAACACCAUGGCCCAAACCAAUCUGGGGUAGACCUGUCAACUCACAGUCAACAGCUCACCAGGAGAGGAAGCUGAGACAAGAGCUGAAGAAGACCCCGAAAAACACUGCUUACGGGCUUGUUCCUCUUGUCCUGCUCAGUUUGCCUUUGUCUACACCCCAGGACCACCACCGAGGGGUGGCACAGCCCAGAAAAGGAUGGGCUUUUCACAUCUAUCACCAGUUUGAGAUGCGUACUGUGCAACCCCAGCUUGCACCUCACAUCUCUCCUCUGGAAUCUUCUUCUGUAUCCAACUGUGUUGGCAUUUGACACACAGCUGUUGAGUGCACGCCCCCAUAGAGUUGCCAAUCAGAUGGAUGCAAAGUCUUAGCUGAGGUUCUCUCUUCCCAGCUUGGUUCAAACUGGGCAAACAUAACCAGCACGCCAGUGGUUUUUCUGGGAAGAGCAGCAAUUCCCACCAACUCCAAUGACCACCUCUUCUUCUGCGACCUGCUAUUUCUUGUCAGGGCCUGUUGGACACGCCUUUAAUCAUGUUUCUACCUGAGAACUGUCGACCUUGGUCAGUCUACAGUGCACAUCGUACUCACGCAUACCACGUAAAAUGCACACAUAAAAACACCGAUCUUUAAAAGUCAAAGUGAGCCAAUAUAUGGGAUAAAAUAACACAUACACAGCAAAUACAUAUGUUGAAUAUUCUGAAUACCACUGGAAUUUGGGGGAAAACAGUUGAGCAUUUUUUUAAAAUGAUACAAUUACCUCAUGUCCUGGGUUUCCCUCCCCCAAGAGAAAUGCCCAUGUUUACAUAAAAAGGCUGCCUGUGUUUACAAGGUUUUAUGAAUUGACCCUUAUAUUUUGCAAAAACUCAAACAAAAACCUAAGCUUGUAACAAAGUGAACAUGGCAUUGAAGAAAAUGAUCAAAAAGGGAAAACAGGAACUCGUGCUUGCACCUGCCCAUCUCUUCUGCUGGCUAAAUGUCCCUCAACUUUCUGUCCAAGGUCGCUAAACAACUUGCUGGACAUCUUAAGUUACACUAAAAGCACUUUUCUGCCAAAACUCUUUCCCUUGGGCUAGCAAAAUGGCUCUGUGAGUAAAGGUGCUUAUGGUUCAAGCCUGGUGACCUGACUUCCCUCCCCGGAACCUACAUAAAAGUGGAAGGAGAGAACCAACUACAUAUAGUUGUCCUCUGACCUCUAAAUGUGGGACACGCCUGUGUGUGACCUAUCCCCUCCCCUUACACACACACACCCACACACACAUAGACCACCACCACCACCACCACCACCACCACCACCCCCCAAAUCAAAACAACACCAAAAUUCCACCCCCUUGCAGUAGAGAAUCUGACUGUAGAGCCGGGGUUUUCUGCUGGGAAAUUCUACCUGCCACCAUCCUGCUCUCUCUCUGCUCACACUUUACCCACCAGUUUCCUAUUUGUUUGCUCUGACCUGUUCCUAACGCUGCCUUUUAGAGUUUGAGAUGCGUACUGUGCAACCCCAGCUUGCACCUCACAUCUCUCCUCUGGAAUCUUCUUCUGUAUCCAACUGUGUUGGUAUUUGACACACAGCUGUUGAGUGCACCGUGGAUGACUCUCAGAUGCAUUACUACUGCAGGGACCCAGCUCCCUGGUGUUCUUGAAAAGCCAGUGUGUAAAAGCAGAAAGAGAAGAGUGCCAUGGGCUGGGUACAGAGGAAAGGAGUGUCUACAAGGACAUGGGGUACUGGGGUGGGGUCUGGGUCUAUACCUUGAUUAUGAUGGAGACUCUAUGAUUAUAUAUGUUCAGAAUUCAUGGAAAUGUGUAACAAACUAAUGAGCUUGACUGAAUGUAAAUCACAUAUAUUUAAAAGUUAAAGCUGACUUUAACGACUGCAUUUUGUUCAUGUUCACCAAACUCCAGGACAACGGGGAACCUCAGCUUAAAGUAUGGGAAAGUUGAGACAUGGGUCUGGAUGCGUAAGCUGCCUAGGACAGGAGAAGGAACAGGAGCAAGCAGAGUUAGAAGCAGAGGUUCCAUAGGUGGACAGUUCUGAUUCUCCUUGAAACGUGCAAGGGUCUUUGGGUCUGUCCUGGCCACAGUUCAGAGACACCAGGAGGAGCUCUGGUUUCUCUUAAGUGAGCUCCCUGCCUGGAUGCUGUGCAUGCAGGUGCAGCUGACACUAAGUGUGUCUGCUGGACAGCUGUAAGAUUAGAUCCCUAGAUUUUCUUUUUCCUUUUCCUUGUUAUCCCUUUUACUGAAAAUAGUUUCUUUCAUCAGACAGUUAAUCCCGAUUAGUUCUGCUUCCCUCUGCUCCUUUCCGAAUAUUCCCCCAUACCUUCUCUCCCAUCCAGAUCCACUCCCUUUCUGUCUCUCUUUAGAAAAGAAUGGUCUUCUAGUAAGAGACAACAACCAAACACAACAAAAUAAAAUACAAUAGGAUAAAACAAAAACCAUCACCUCAAACCUGCACAAGGAAAACAACAGAAGAAAUAGAGCCCCAAAGCAGGCACAAGAGUCAGAGACCCACGCUGUUGUGGAUCGUCCUGGUGCUGUGUGUAUUUUGAUGUUAAUUCUGCUUCCUCAAGAGGAUCUGCCGAGACCAGGAGUGAAUCACUCAGGUGAUUCCGAGUGAAGCUUCUCCCCAGUUUAACUGAUCAGAUAAAGGCUAGAGCCUGUGAUUGGGAAGUGGGAAGGAAAGUCGGGGCUAGUUUUAGAGAGGGGAAGAGGAGGAGGAGGAGGAGAAAGAGAGAGAAGGAGACAGGAGAGAGAGGAAGAUGAAGGAAGAGGAGGUGGAAGGAAGAUGGCCUGGAGAAGACACAAGUGGCAAGGGAUCUCACAGCUGGGGAAUAGAGCAGUGCAGUGGUGAAUCUGCCCAAUCUAGGCGAGCAGCUUAUAAAUAUUAUAACUGUGUUGUGUGUUCUUUGCACGGGCUUGUUGGGGUUGGAGAUUUACCGCAACACUCAGGAGUCCCAUCAGAAUACUCAUCUGAAAGCUGUAACCUAUGUGCAGAGGAGCUAGAGUAGACCUUUGCAGACCUGUGCUUGCUGCUCCAUCUCUGUGAGUUCAGAAAGCUUUGCUCAGUUGAUUAGAGAGCUUUGUUCUACUGCUGUCCAACACACUCUCUGGCUCUUACAAUCUUUCGCCUUCUCUUCCAUGGGAUUCCCUGAGCUCUGAGGGAGGAAUCUGCUGAAGGCCCCUCCCCCACCUCUCUGCAUAAUGUCUGGCUGUGGGUCUCAGUUGUUCCCAUCUGCGGUAAAAGGAAGCUUCUGAGGUGAUGGCUCAGCAAGGCACCGACCUAUGAAUAUUAGAGAGUAUCAUUAGGAGUCAUUCUCUCUGUCCCUGACUAUUUUUUUGUGGGAUGGGGUUGAGAGACUCUAGUGACUGAUUCUGUCUCAAUGGGGGUCAUAGAUCUGUUUAACUCACUUAUCUGAUCUUGAUUUAAGUUUUAUAUGUGGUACCUACUGAGGAAAUCAUUCAUUUCUUUUAUAUUUUCCAAUUGGUGGAGUACAGGUUUUUGAAGUAGGUCCGUAUGAUUCUCUGGAUUUCGUCUGAAUCUGUUGUUACGCCUUCCCCCAACCCCCCUUUUUUGUUUCUGAUUUUGGAUACACUCUUUCUGCCUUUUAAUUAAUUUAAUUAAUUUGCCAGUCUUACUGAUUUUUUUCUCAAAAAAAAAAUCCUGUUCAAUAUAUUGGUUAUAUUGGUUUCUUGUUCGUUUCUGUUUUACUGACUUCGGUCAUGAGUUUGAUCAUUCCUGCUGACUAUUCCUCUUGGACGAGAUUUUAUCUCUCCAUUCCAGGGCUUUCAGGUGAGCUCUUAUCUCCACUCUGUUCCCACACACAGGAUUCACCUCAAGGCACAGCUUCUCUCCCUGUUGACGUAUCUCCAGUUGAAAAGUCAAUGUGUCAUUUCAUCUUGUUCUCCCUGGGGUUGACCACUAAUGGCUGCACUGUACUUACCUAGAAAUGUGUGUGAGGCUCUCUUGGAUUGUUUUUUUCAAGACAGGGUUUCUCCAUGUAGCCCUGGCUGUCCUGGAAUUGACUCUAUAUGCCUGGCUGGCCUCAAACUCACUGAUCCACCUAAGGCAUGCUCUACCACACCUGGCUUUUGAGAGCACUUUUGACUCCACUUGGUCUGAUAUAUGCAAAAGUAGUCAGAGGAAUUGACCGGAAUGAAAGGGGAGAGAAGAGAUGUUUGCUGAACCUGUUGUUGGUGAACUUGAAGCUGGUUUACAGCUAGUGGGAAUGCAAGAUGGUUGAGCUCUUGUGGAAGACAGUAGGGCCCAUCACUAAAGAAGCAAAGAAAUAAGUGGAUUAUUGACUAUGCAAUCAGUCAAUGACAGACUGACUGAAGGACUCAAUGAUAAAGAGCACCAAAUGAUCCAGCAAAUUGUCACUGGAUACAUAUCUGAAGGAUGAGAAGGCAGGGUUCAUAGUCACUGCAAUUCACAACAGCCAAAAAGGUAGCAGCAGAUAAGCUUGCUUCCCCAGGGACAGUUAGACAGCAAGGGUUGUGUGUAUAGAUGGUAUUCUUCAGCUUUAAGAAAGAAUGGUAAAGGUUGGGGAUUUAGCUCAGUGGUAGAGCGCUUGCCUAGGAAGCGCAAGGCCCUGGGUUCGGUCCCCAGCUCCGGGGAAAAAAAAAAAAAAAAAAAAAAAAAAAAAAAAGAAAGAA
This is a long non-coding RNA of Rattus norvegicus (Norway rat), 5407 nucleotides long. RefSeq lists it as uncharacterized. NCBI's taxonomy places the organism in Eukaryota, Metazoa, Chordata, Mammalia, Rodentia, Muridae. The record is from RefSeq and is a predicted model, not a curated record.